AAGCAUUCAAAGAUUGGGAGGCAUUCGAAGAUUGGGAGCAUUCGAAGAUUGGGAGCAUUACAGAGAUCGUGAAGAGUAGAAGAUUUUUGAAGUGAAGAUCGAGCAACAACGAAGUUCAUGAUCAAGAUCAAGCGACAACAAAGUUCGUGAUCAAGAUCAAGCAGCAGCGAAGUUUGUCAACGAAGUUCGUGAUCAAGAUCAAGCAACAGCAAAGUUCAUGAUCAAGAUAUCAAGUGUUCGUGAUCAAGAUCAAGUCAUCAAGACCUAUGAAGUGAAGAUAUCAAGUGUUCGUGAUCAAGAUUAAGUCGUUAUGUCAUGACCCGAAACUCCCAUCGAGCCCUUGACAACCGCCGCGAAGCCUCGAC
This 365-nucleotide long non-coding RNA is filed under the name Theobroma cacao (cacao). RNAcentral describes it as "long non-coding RNA (TCAC_LNC002556)". Lineage: Eukaryota; Viridiplantae; Streptophyta; Magnoliopsida; Malvales; Malvaceae. The record is from RNAcentral.